This is a ribosomal RNA of Pteropus vampyrus (large flying fox), 119 nucleotides long. The record is from Ensembl. NCBI's taxonomy places the organism in Eukaryota, Metazoa, Chordata, Mammalia, Chiroptera, Pteropodidae.
GUCUACAGCCAUGCCACCCUAAACAAGCCCGAUCCCAUCUGAUCUCAGAAGCUAAGUAGGGUCAGGCCUGGUUGGUACUUGGAUGAGAGACUACCUAGGAACACCAAGUGCUGUAGGCA